AAGUCGUAACAAGGUUUCCGUAGGUGAACCUGCGGAAGGAUCAUUAAAGAGUAAGGGUGCUCAGCGCCCGACCUCCAACCCUCUGUUGUUAAAACUACCUUGUUGCUUUGGCGGGACCGCUUCAGGUCCGUCCGAGCCGCCGGGGCCGUCAAAAGCCCAGGCGAGUUCCCGCCAGAGUUAAACCAAACUCUUGUUAAUAAACCGGUCGUCUGAGUUAAAUUUUUGAAUAAAUCAAAACUUUCAACAACGGAUCUCUUGGUUCUC
This 264-nucleotide unclassified non-coding RNA is filed under the name air metagenome. RNAcentral describes it as "partial contains small subunit ribosomal RNA, internal transcribed spacer 1, and 5.8S ribosomal RNA". The stretch from base 1 to 46 matches the Rfam family "Eukaryotic small subunit ribosomal RNA", at positions 1786 to 1831 of the family's 1831-position model. The record is from RNAcentral.